Molecule: non-coding RNA, 784 nt
Organism: Chelmon rostratus (copperband butterflyfish)
Lineage: Eukaryota; Metazoa; Chordata; Actinopteri; Chaetodontiformes; Chaetodontidae
Source: the annotation of a RefSeq genome assembly
CAGAUAUUUGCUCUACAUUUCAGAACUGCAGCUUUAUCUGUGCAAGAUAACAAUUUCCAUGAUAGAAAAGACUUUUGCUUCAUUGAAUGCAUCUGAAAAAGCCCUGAGUUCCAUGAACAGCAUAAAGCCAGAAAGGACUGAAGAACAUGUUGCAGAGGGAAGAAACAUCAACCUGGCCUGUAAAUAUGAGGGUGUUAUCUCCAAUAUCCAGUGGUACCGACAAUACCAGAGAUCCAGACCAGAGUUCCUGCUCUACAUCACAGAGGGAGGAUCGAUCCAUCCAACUGGUUCUGGUGUCUCAGCUCACAUCAACAAAACAGAGAAACGUGUAGAUGUGGAGAUCAUCUCAGCUAAAGUGACUGACUCUGCUGUGUACUACUGUGCUCUGCAGCCCACAGUGACAGGAAACAGCAAAACUCUGCACAAAAACCUCUGCAGCAAACACAACACAAUACUCCACAACGUCCACUAGAGGGAGUCACACACUGCUCAAUUUCAACAGGAUGAUGAUGCUACAGCCUGGAAUCACUGUCCUCUCAGACAUGAUUAUGAUGUAUUUCUGAGUUGAGAUCAACAAAUAAAUCUGACCUUGAGCAUUAUCCUGCUUGUACCAUGGUCACCUGCCCCCCAAAACUGAAUCUAUUUAGAAUUUCUUGAGUUCUGCAAUCAAAAAGUUUUUCACAAGCCAUAAAUCAGUUUCCUUGGUAACACCUGGUAGUUUGACUGAUGCCUGGAACAAUCUUAACAAUCCCAUGUAGUCUCACAGCUGCAGACACCGCAUCCC